ACUCCUACGGGAGGCAGCAGUGGGGAAUAUUGGACAAUGGGCGCAAGCCUGAUCCAGCAAUGCCGCGUGCAGGAUGAAGGCCUUCGGGUUGUAAACUGCUUUUGUACGGAACGAAAAGCUCUGGGUUAAUACCCUGGGGUCAUGACGGUACCGUAAGAAUAAGCACCGGCUAACUACGUGCCAGCAGCCGCGGUAAUACGUAGGGUGCAAGCGUUAAUCGGAAUUACUGGGCGUAAAGCGUGCGCAGGCGGUCUUGUAAGACAGUGGUGAAAUCCCCGGGCUCAACCUGGGAACUGCCAUUGUGACUGCAAGGCUAGAGUGCGGCAGAGGGGGAUGGAAUUCCGCGUGUAGCAGUGAAAUGCGUAGAGAUGUGGAGGAAUACCGAUGGCGAAGGCAGCCCCCUGGGCCAAUACUGACGCUCAUGCACGAAAGCGUGGGGAGCAAACAGGAUUAGAUACCCUGGUAGUCCACGCCCUAAACGAUGUCAACUAGUUGUUGGGGAUUCAUUUCCUUAGUAACGUAGCUAACGCGUGAAGUUGACCGCCUGGGGAGUACGGUCGCAAGAUUAAAACUCAAAGGAAUUGACGG
This 588-nucleotide ribosomal RNA is filed under the name uncultured bacterium. Its description in RNAcentral is "bacterial SSU rRNA". It matches the Rfam family "Bacterial small subunit ribosomal RNA", at positions 335 to 916 of the family's 1533-position model. The record is from RNAcentral.